RNAcentral lists this ribosomal RNA (632 nucleotides) under Mandarina hirasei. RNAcentral's name for it is "partial 12S ribosomal RNA". Lineage: Eukaryota; Metazoa; Mollusca; Gastropoda; Stylommatophora; Camaenidae. The record is from RNAcentral.
GUACAUAAUUUUAGUUUAUAUUCAUUUUUUAUACUUAAUAAAAGAUAAAUUACUUUUAAGUCCUUCUUUAUACACUUUUUCAAUAUGUAUUUUGCUACAAUAUUGUAACUCGCCUAAACUUCUUGAUAGUCUGCACCUUGAUCUGUAAUAUUAGGUGUUAUAUUCCUAAUUUGACAAUAUAUUAUAUAUUGUCAGGUUACGACGGCAUACAAAAUAUUACAUAAGAAAGAAGUGGGAUACCUUGGUGGUUAUCAUUUAUUUGGUAAGUUCCCCUAAUUUUUAAAAUUACCGUCAUGCUAUUUGAGUUUUAAUCAACCAAGAUUUUAGUACUCAGUAUAUUUUAGUGGGUAUUGUAUAAAAGGGUAUCUAAUCCUUGUUUAUGAUCAAUAUUUUAUAUAUUUUUAGAUUAUAUAAAGAUUAUUGUGCUAUUAUUUCACCAAUUUUUACAUUAUAAGCUAUUUAUACUAUAUAUUGUUUAUUACUAUAAAAGUUUGACCGCGACUGCUGGCACUUUAUAAGUCAUAGUAUUUAAUAUUGGUUUAUUCUUACUUUCAUAAAUUUUUAAAUUUUCUUUCCUGGUUAGAUCUUUUAAGUACCAUAAGUAAUCCAAUUUUUUAUAAACAGUUCAUCAU